AGAGUUUGAUCAUGGCUCAGAUUGAACGCUGGCGGCAUGCCUUACACAUGCAAGUCGAACGCGAAAGCGGAGCAAUCCGCAAGUAGAGUGGCGAACGGGUGAGUAAUACAUCGGAACAUUUCCAGUAGCGGGGGAUAACCUGUCGAAAGAUAGGCUAAUACCGCAUACGACCUACGGGUGAAAGCGGAGGACCGCAAGGCUUCGCACUAUUGGAGUGGCCGAUGUCGGAUUAGCUAGUUGGCGGGGUAAAAGCCCACCAAGGCUACGAUCCGUAGCUGGUCUGAGAGGACGAUCAGCCACACUGGAACUGAGACACGGUCCAGACUCCUACGGGAGGCAGCAGUGGGGAAUUUUGGACAAUGGGCGCAAGCCUGAUCCAGCCAUGCCGCGUGAGUGAAGAAGGCCUUCGGGUUGUAAAGCUCUUUCGGUGGGGACGAAGCGGUUCGUGCUAAUACCACGGACUAAUGACGGUACCCGAAGAAGAAGCACCGGCUAACUACGUGCCAGCAGCCGCGGUAAUACGUAGGGUGCAGGCGUUAAUCGGAAUUACUGGGCGUAAAGCGUGCGCAGGCGGUUUGCUAAGACAGGUGUGAAAUCCCCGGGCUUAACCUGGGAACUGCGCUUGUAACUGGCAAGCUAGAGUGUGGCAGAGGGGGGUGGAAUUCCAAGUGUAGCAGUGAAAUGCGUAGAUAUUUGGAGGAACACCGAUGGCGAAGGCAGCCCCCUGGGCUAACACUGACGCUCAUGCACGAAAGCGUGGGGAGCAAACAGGAUUAGAUACCCUAGUAGUCC
RNAcentral lists this ribosomal RNA (792 nucleotides) under uncultured bacterium. Its description in RNAcentral is "bacterial SSU rRNA". It matches the Rfam family "Bacterial small subunit ribosomal RNA", at positions 8 to 796 of the family's 1533-position model. The record is from RNAcentral.